RNAcentral lists this ribosomal RNA (458 nucleotides) under uncultured bacterium. Its description in RNAcentral is "partial 16S ribosomal RNA". It matches the Rfam family "Bacterial small subunit ribosomal RNA", at positions 338 to 795 of the family's 1533-position model. The record is from RNAcentral.
CCUACGGGAGGCAGCAGUGAGGAAUAUUGGUCAAUGGGCGAGAGCCUGAACCAGCCAAGUCGCGUGAGGGAGUACUGCCCUAUGGGUUGUAAACCUCUUUUGUCGGGGAGCAAAAGCCGGACGUGUCCGGCUGUGAGAGUACCCGAAGAAAAAGCAUCGGCUAACUCCGUGCCAGCAGCCGCGGUAAUACGGAGGAUGCGAGCGUUAUCCGGAUUUAUUGGGUUUAAAGGGUGCGCAGGCGGAUUUUUAAGUCAGCGGUAAAAUCGUGGGGCUCAACCCCAUCCAGCCGUUGAAACUGGGGAUCUAGAGUGUGCGAGAGGUAUGCGGAAUGCGUGGUGUAGCGGUGAAAUGCAUAGAUAUCACGCAGAACCCCGAUUGCGAAGGCAGCAUACCGGUGCACAACUGACGCUCAGGUACGAAAGCGUGGGUAUCGAACAGGAUUAGAUACCCUUGUAGUC